Molecule: ribosomal RNA, 506 nt
Filed under: uncultured bacterium
Lineage: Bacteria
Description: partial 16S ribosomal RNA
Rfam family: Bacterial small subunit ribosomal RNA
Source: RNAcentral
AGUGAACGCUGGCGGUAGGCCUAACACAUGCAAGUCGAACGGCAGCACAGGAGAGCUUGCUCUCUGGGUGGCGAGUGGCGGACGGGUGAGGAAUACAUCGGAAUCUACUCUGUCGUGGGGGAUAACGUAGGGAAACUUACGCUAAUACCGCAUACGACCUACGGGUGAAAGCAGGGGACCUUCGGGCCUUGCGCGAUUGAAUGAGCCGAUGUCGGAUUAGCUAGUUGGCGGGGGAAAGGCCCACCAAGGCGACGAUCCGUAGCUGGUCUGAGAGGAUGAUCAGCCACACUGGAACUGAGAGACGGUCCAGACGCCUACGGGAGGCAGCAGUGGGGAAUAUUGGACAAUGGGCGCAAGCCUGAUCCAGCCAUACCGCGUGGGUGAAGAAGGCCUUCGGGUUGUAAAGCCCUUUUGUUGGGAAAGAAAUCCAGCCGGCUAAUACCCGGUUGGGAUGACGGUACCCAAAGAAUAAGCACCGGCUAACUUCGUGCCAGCAGCCGCCGUAA